ACACCAAUCUGCACCCCUGUGUGCCAUCCCAUUUAGCGCCUGGGCUUUUAACACAUUGUGAUACGGCUAUUAUUAGAAGCGAUGGAUUAUCAAUCAGGAAUUAAUCCUGAUUGACGUGUUUUCCUCAACCGGAAAAGGACAACACUCAAAGCUGGACUGUUUGUUUUCAUCUGUCUGAUGAGAGGAGAUGUUUCUUUCUUUUCUCACCUGCAGGAGGUGACAUGAGAGAGGAGAGGAUUGUCCUUUUUUUCCACUUUCUGUGAUCAAACCACUCCUUCUACCACCUUGAGGAUGUGAGGAGACCACUGAGGAAGACAUCCAUUCAUUUGGCUCCUUCAGUCAAUCAUUUUCCGCCCUCGUCCUCGCCUCUUUGCCUGACUGGCUGCUGAGCUGACUGACUGCUUGGAUGGUUGGCUCCCUCUCUCUCUGGGCUCUGGCAGUUCACUCACACAGUGCACGAGCUUCGCUGAGGCAGGAGUGGAGAGAGACUGUCGGGCUGCUCAGGGCUUGGAAAAGUGGGAUCUCUGCUAGAUUUCUCUGUCUGUCUGUUGUGGUGGGCUGUUAGAUGAGAGCAGGGGAAAUCUCUGUCCAUCUCUCCUCCGGCACAGACCACUGACCGUCACUACUGUGCUGCAUCCAUGACUUUACAUACCUGGCUGGUGUAUGGGUUUGGAUUUAUCUUGGUUUGGACACUCUGCUUGGCACAAGUCCAGGGGCUGCAGUGCUAUGGCUGCAACAUCAUCCAGGGUCAGAGAUACGUGGACGUGGGCUGCUCCAACCCCGAGGUCAUCACCUGCACCCACUCACACAAGGGCUUCAAACACCGCUUCUGCAUCAAGACAGAGAGCACGGCUCUCGGUAUCGUCCUGACCAGCGGUUGUGCUACGUCCAGACACUGCCAGCAACAAGAGCUGCCAGGGGUGCGAAUCCACUGCUGUGACUCAGACCUAUGUAACAGCACCCCCCUCUGGCAUCCCAGCACACUCCACUACAUCUGUGCGAUGUUCAGCCUCCUGCUGCUGAGGAUGUGGUUGUGAUGGGACCACAACCAAAACACCAGUGGACUAUUCUCUUAGCUGCUUAGGAGUUUUGCUCGGUGUGGAGUUCCUGGUGAGCACCCUGGAACAGCUUUGGUCACACUGUUAGCUUGGACUCGCGAUGAGAGCGAAGGUUAAAUAGCCCUGUGAAUAAGUUCGAUGAAAAUAAUGACGAAGCAGCUUGCAGUCAUCAGUGAAUUCAUUGUGCCCAUCCACUCAUUCAAAUAUAGCUUGAAGUAUGCAGCAUCUGUUGCCAUGACAGCAUUAUCUUUGUUCGCAUCAUCAUGUCAGUUCAUUAAAAGUUUUCACCUUAUAUGAGCAACUGCAGAAACACACUGACUUCAGUUUUAUGGAAACACAUUCCUUUUCUCUGCUGAGGCGUUCACUAUCUUUUUUAGGAUCAGAUCUUCCUGUGGUUUGUUAUUUUAAAGUUACGGGCUGUUUACUUUGCAAAAUGAAAGAUAUUUUUUUUAGUUUGCUGUGCAGUCCUCCAGGCCAGACUCUGGAAAGCACACUGCAUGUGGUUAUUCUAUGUAUGACUGUAAGUAAUAUUGUUCAGUGGAAGCAUGUAAUGUUGUGAAUUAUUGUAUUAAAAUGUUUCAUACUUUUCAAAAGAAAA
Acanthochromis polyacanthus (spiny chromis) is the source of this 1656-nucleotide long non-coding RNA. RefSeq lists it as uncharacterized. NCBI's taxonomy places the organism in Eukaryota, Metazoa, Chordata, Actinopteri, Pomacentridae. The transcript is spliced from 3 exons. The record is from RefSeq and is a predicted model, not a curated record.